GAAGAACCGUUCAAUCUUCACGUUGCUGGCCAUAGUCGCCGGUCAACUAAAUGGGGCUACAUUCACAUGCUGAGGGAAUUUCAGUAGCUGGGUCAUGCAGGGAUGCAGCCUUACUGUACUCUGCAGUUGUGUUUAUUUUUGUGUUUUACUUGUAAAGCUGACUUUCUUACGGUGGUGUUGUUGAGCUUCGAGAUCAUGGUUCUGGAGAUUUGUGUGUAAAACCUUCGUUGCGGUGGUGGAGAUGGCUUUUUUUCAGUGCUUGGAUCACCGCAGUUGACUUGUGAUCCGCGCUGACUUCAAUAUCGAUCGAUGGAAACCGAACCUUGAAGGUGGAUCCUCAUUCGUUUCGUUUUGUUGGUGAUUUCCCCUGCUUUUGCACUAUUGACUUGCAGGGUUGAAUCAGAGUUGCGUGAAUUUCUCUUUCAAAGUUAAAAAAAAAAAAAAAACAAAACAAAACAAAAACAAAAAUAAAAAAGAACUGAAGGAUUUUUCUGCCCAUGUUACUAGUAUGUGCAAUCCCGAAAGGUUCAAAAGGGGAAAUAGGGACCAGAGUCCUUCCUUUUUCACUUUCUCGUUGCGCAGCGCUUGAGUUCCAUGUGCCUAGGCUAAAAGCAUACUUUUCCAAGCAAGUUAUCCGUGCGGUGCUCAUUCUGAACCUUAAAGCAAAACAAUUAUGUCUUAAGGUUCAAUCAGGGUGGAGAAUGGAGAGGAGAUAGAUGACUUGGUGGGAAAGACAUUGAUAUCCAGUGAGUCCUUACGCUCUGUGUUCAUUUACUACCAAUGAUGAAGCUCCAUCUCUGUCAUUGGUCUUAGCUUUGCUUUAUAUGACAUUAAUCCACAUCGUAGAUAUCAUCAUGUAACUACAAAGGACGACUCAUAUGUUCCGUGUCAAUUGGACUUAAAGGAGGUUACAGUGGGAUGUUGACUACUUUUGCAGAGGACAGUCAAAUGUCACACUUACAAAGCUUUUUUUGUGUAUA
Molecule: non-coding RNA, 980 nt
Organism: Physcomitrium patens
Lineage: Eukaryota; Viridiplantae; Streptophyta; Bryopsida; Funariales; Funariaceae
Source: RefSeq, a predicted model, not a curated record